UCAUCGACAUCAUUGUGUUCUACAGAAAGUGUAGCUAACACAAAUAGCAUUCCAAAAACUGAUAUCCAUGGUCCUGAAAAUACUACUAAUAAUAGAUAUUUAUCAAUGUUUAUGGCACCGAGCAUUAAUAAUGAUAUAAAGAAUAAUUAUUACAAUGACGAACUUAACUAUGACAGUGAUGAAAGUUCACAAUUUAGCAUUGAUAUUUCGUAUGAUUAUUCAGAUGAGUCAUCAAUACCAGAUUGGUAUAAAACUGAACAAAUUAAUCAGUUAAAUAUGGACGAUGAUUUUAUUGUAAAUAUUCCAUUUCCAAAGUGACAAUUUGUAAAACAAACUAUGGAAUCUACUUAAAAUGAGUCUAUAGGUUAUAAAUUUUAAUCAAAAAUAUCAUACGAACUAAGAUUUCUCAUGCGGCUAUUUCAUUUACAUGAAACAUAACAUUAUUCCUUCAACAUAUUUAAACAAUUACUUUGAAUAAAAUGUGAAAACAUAAUAUUGUUAAGUGGAAAUAUUAUCAAAUGAAUUCUUAC
Daktulosphaira vitifoliae (grape phylloxera) is the source of this 530-nucleotide long non-coding RNA. RefSeq lists it as uncharacterized. The record is from RefSeq and is a predicted model, not a curated record. Lineage: Eukaryota; Metazoa; Arthropoda; Insecta; Hemiptera; Phylloxeridae. The transcript has 4 exons.